Molecule: long non-coding RNA, 19042 nt
Filed under: Citrus maxima (pomelo)
Lineage: Eukaryota; Viridiplantae; Streptophyta; Magnoliopsida; Sapindales; Rutaceae
Description: long non-coding RNA (CMAX_LNC002286)
Rfam family: Plant small nucleolar RNA R71 (bases 5350-5456)
Source: RNAcentral
CACAAGUGAAACUCCACUUUAUUGAACGAUGGGGUCUCAAAUGGGCUGCCUCUUUGCCACUCUUUUGGUAGUAUCAGUCUCUCUUAGCUACUUGCCGUUAGAAGCCUCCGCAAACAAAUACUACUACACAUCUCCUCCCCCUCCCAAGUACAAGUCUCCACCACCACCCCCGCCACCGGUUCACAAUUCUCCACCACCACCCCCGGUUUACCUGCCCCCGCCACCUCCUCCACCAGUCUACGUGCCUGCUCCGGCACCAACUCCAAUUUUCCCUUCUCCGCCACCUCCUGUCCCCAAGUCCCCACCACCACCUCACCCUUACGUCUAUGCAUCUCCCCCUCCUCCUUACUACUACUAGAAAGCGGCCAUGAAUAGCUCAUGCUUUUAUGGUAAUCUCAUUUAUUUUUAAAACUGUACAUGUAAAGACUAGUAGUUCAGAAUUACAUUAAGCAUUUCAAUUUUAAGCACCGUGUUCUGUUUAAUUGCGUUCCUAUUGAUUAAGUGACAAAUAAAAGAGAUUGAUUAAUUUGUUCUUGUAGGAGAGGCGAAUGGUAUCCGAAUAAAGAAAGCAAGGGUUUGAUGGAAGGCUUACUUGGAGCAAGAUAGCGAUCAAUCGAGUUGCUGCGUUUUAUUCUCUUUUAUCUUUGUUUUUUAAGAAAAAUAAACUGCCACACGUAGAAACAGAAAAUUAAGUUCUUGUCAUUUUCAUGCAUAUGGAUUGUUGCUGUGUGUGUCAAUCAAAUCUCCGUUGUGUCAUUUGUAAUUUUCAACCUUUAUGCAUGCAAAUGCGAGACCUCUUACGUAUAAUAAAAUUAAUAUACUUCCCAAGAUGGUCUUAUCUUGCGUUGACUUUUUACGUUCCUUUGGUGAUGAUUUUGACGUUUGAAAUUGAUGACUAAUUGACUAUUGUUUUUGUAAACUCUGACAUGGAUUUUUCGUGCAACUACAGAGCGCAUUAACGAGAGACUUAUCCAUGAGGGUCCAUGCAGAUCAGUGUCUAAUUAACCAAUAAUUAAUAUAACUAAAAAAAUAUAGAGUUAACUAUUUUUAUGGGUCAGGCUCAAUUGCAGAUGUUCGUACAAAAUUUCUUGCUAAUGUAUACUUGAGUAUGAUAAUAAGUUUUAAUCAUUAUUAAUAAUUCACUUGAUAAUAUUAAACAAAUUUUCAUAUCAAUUAAGUUACAAAAUUUCUGUGACAAAUUUCCGCGUACUGGAACCAUGCAAAAGGGCUUUAUUCAAACAAAACUGCAUAGCCGUUGGCAAUUAAAAUUAUUUAUCAAUUAAGUUAAGUAGUAAGAAUUGGAUUGUGGAUUCCAUUAAUUAUUUCAAGGAAAAUUUUAUAGAUAAUGCCGUAAUGAAAUUUACGGCAUCAAUACCAUGAUAAAUAUAAAUAUUGUAAAUUACAAAUAGAAUUAGUAAAUGUAAAGUAAAACCAGUAAAUUCAUAAAAGAUUAUUAAUUAUUUAAAAAAUUAACAUUGUUUCUACAUAAUUUUAGUGAAAAAUAUUUUAUUCAUUUACAAAAACAUUUCUUUAAUUAAACAAAAAAAUUCAUUAAUUAAGCAAAAAAAUUAUACUGAAAAAAAAGUGGAAUAAGUUUAAUUGAAUUGGUUAUCAUAAAUUCUAUAUUUAGUCUAGGACAUUUUUAUACAUUUUCUUCCCAUUUUCGAUAAUGAUAUCUAUUUGUUACACAUGUUAAUUAAGUGCAAUUAUUUAUCUUGAUGUGGAUCAAGUAAAAAAAUAUCAUAAAUAAGAUAUCAAUAAAAUUAGAUCUAAUUUUGAAUAUUAUGUAUACUUUAUGUAGUUUCAAACUUUUUACUUGUAUUUGGAGACCAUUUAAGGUUGUUGUUGAAGAAGUGUAGAAAGAUGUAAAAUAACUUCAUCUUACAACAACUAUGAAAGAUAUUAAAAUAAUAAUUUUUUCAAAAUCCGAUUUUGAGAAAAAAAUUCAUCCUUAAUUAAACAUCACAUGUAUUAUAGAAAUGCAAAACUACCAUUGUUAUAUUUAACUUAAAAAAUAAUAAAUAUAUAAGGUAAUAAACAUUAUAAAGAGUUUUUAUUUUAAAAUUGUAAACUUUUGUUUCUGACAAUAACUCUUAUAUUAAUUUAUUUAUUUUGCCUUUUAUUCAUAAGUUUUAUGCAUAAUUUACAAACUUUAAGUUUUAUUUUGCAUUUUAUGUUGAUUUGGUUUUUUUAUAUUAUACGUACAAGUUUUCUUUUUAUUUACCAGUAAUACAUCAAUUUAUCAGCUUGAUAGUAAUUUACUUAUUUUACCUUCCUUUUACAAUUCUUAUGUUUCAUUUCCAAAAUUUAUGUUUUAUUUUACAGUUGUUGAUGAUUUACUAGUUUUAUGUUAUGUUUGCAAGUUUUUGUUUUGUUUACUAGUAAUAGAUUAAUGGGUAAUUUUUAAUUGAGUCCUCAUUAGUUCUAGAAAAACAAUUCAGAGACCAGAAGUUUACUAAAUGAAUCAAUUAAAUUCUUUCAAGUACAAACUAAUGUCAUUCAAGUCCUUAACUUAAUUGGUCAGUUAAAAAUAUUAACAACGUUGAGGACAUUUUAGUAAAACAACAAUUGAGUCGUUUCUCAUUCUUUAUUUUUGACAGGUGGAAAUAGUUUAAAGUAAACUCACUUAACCUGAUUAAGUUAAGGAUCAGUUCUUUCAAAUGAAAAAAAAAAAAAAAACCUACAGAAACUGCCAUAUUCUUCGUGUGGGAGGAGAGAUCGAGAGAACGUGGGAUGGUGCAAAAAAUGUUGUAUAAAUCUACUGUGAUUUUGACCAAAGCUUUGGUAGCAUUGAUUGAGUUCAAGUACUGGAGAGAACCUGAGUUUAAAGGUUAGUAACUCUAUUUUUUUAGUGAUUUCUGCAAGCAUUUUCUGAUAAAAAAUUUUCCGUAUUGAGUGAUCGUUGUGAAAAAUUAAGUUUUUCAAGUCUAUUUUACAAAAUGACAAACUAUGUUUAAUUAUUGAUGGAUUCUUUUUUUUGUUCAAUGUUGUAUUUUGUUAAUUUGUUGUUUUUAAUUUGCUCUUAAUGUAAUUGUUAGACCAAAUACACCAUUAUUAUACCUGUAUUCAUUUCAACAAUUUGGUAUCGUUAUAUUAAUAAGAUUGAAUUCAUUGUAUUUGCUUCUUUGUUCAUGUAAAAUUGAAUUCUAUGUAUUCUUAUGAGUGAUAAUUUUUCUAUCUAUUAGACUAAAUUCACUAUAUUCACUACUUUCUUUCUUUUUGCUGGGCUAUUUUUUCUUUUUAGUUUAUAUUUUUUAUAUGUAUUAGAUUGAAUUUGCUUUUGUACGUUUUUUUUAGCCGAAUUACAUGUAUAUUUCAUUUAGGUUGAGUUUUUUUUGUUGUUUGCUAAAUAAAAUUAUAUUGGUUUAUCCCUUUUUUAUGCAAUACUUUUUGUUUAAAAUUAAUACAGUUAGCCAUGUUACCUUUUUUUUCGGUUAAAAUUAAUGGGGUGAUGUAGGCGAUAGGAUAUAGGGAACCAGAGGAAUAUAAGAUUAUUAGGCUGUUUCUUGAAAUUCAAGAUGUCAUGGUUAAGCAUGGACACAGUGAAAUGGAUUUGAUUGAAAUUUUUGUUGUAUUGCCAUGGACUACAAGUGGCCAGAGGAAGCUAAUUUCAAACGAUAGUGAAUUGUAUUGGGUUUUCGAGGAGUUUUUUUUAAUCAAUAGUUGUCCUGUCAUUGAGUUUGAGGUGCACACUGGGUCAGGUGGUCAGUCAUUUCAUGAAAGUGUUGUAAUAGGACCUGAAAAUCCUGUCAAUAUUAAAAAUUAGUGUUGUAAUAGUGAUAAGUUUGAAAAUGUUGUGGCUAAAAAGGUCUGCCUAGAAUAAUUGGUACUUCUUUAUUUGCCUCAAAGUCCAACACUAUGAAAUCCACAAGGAAAAAGAAUUUAUCCACUUUAACCAGCACGUCUUCAAUCUUGCCUUCAGGAUAAGCAUGAGAUCUGGCAGCACAUUGCAAUGUCACUGUGGUUGGUUUGACUUCUCCAACUCCCAAUUGCUUGAAUUCUGAUAAUGUCAUAAGAUUGAUGCUUGCUCCCAAACCACAAAGUGUCUUGCCACUGUAUUUAGUUCCUAUGGAACAAUGAAUUGUGAAACUUCCUGGAUCCUUCAACUUCUGAGGCAUUUUACUCUGAAGCAUAUGGCUGCAUUCUUGUGUUAGACCAACUAUUUCAAAUUCUCCGAGCCUCAUUUUCCUUGCCAAUAUACAUUUCCAAAACUUUACAUAAUUUGGCAUUUGUUCUAAUGCUUCCACAAAAGAAAUGUUGAUAUGCAGUUCUUUCCAUACUUCCAAGAAUUUACUGAACUGCAUGUCUUGCUUUCGCUUUUGAAAUCUUUGUGGGAAGGGUGGUGGAUGUGUAAAUUGUUGUACUGCAGCAGACUAUACAUAUUGCUUUUCUCUUGCUCUAUUAUGGUAUGUUAUUAUUGGUGUUGCAGCUUCUUCCUCAACAAGCAUUGAAUCAUGUUUUUUUGCAGUUGCUAUAACUUAGCAACUCUCACCAGUGUGCUGGAAAAUGGGUUGUUGUGUCUCUUCUUUAAUUUGAGUUUCCCCUUGGGUUGAAUUAGGUUCCACUCUUCUUUUUGGUACUUUAACAAGUAUAUGAACAUCCUUUCCAAACCUUAAGUUAAUCCCCUUACAAUGCUCUUUUCCUUCUCUCUUUCGAUCCUCUGUAUUGUUUAGUAAAUUGUCCUGAGGUAUGUUGCUCAAUUUUGUAGCAAGCUGUCCAAUCUUAUUCUCCAAGUUUCUUAAAAAUACAGCUUGGCUUUAGACCACUACUCCAAUCUUUACAAUAUACUCCUUAAUCAGAGUUUCAAUGGAACUAAAUUGAUCAUUACUGGUGUUUCUUUACCCUUCAAAUUUCUGGUGAAAAUCAGGUGGCUGAGCAAGUCUGUUCUGUCCACUGGAUGCUGCAGCAUGCUGAUUCUGAUUGCUCCUUUUAAAAUUUGGGUGAUGUCUCCAUCCUAGGUUAUAGGUGUUUGAAAAUGGAUUGCUUUGAUUUUGUUUAUUAAAAUUGCCCACAUAAUUGACGGAAGCUGAAUUCCUAGGACAAUUAUGAUAUAGAUGUCCCUCUCCAUAAUAAACACAAGAGACUUCAGCAAUUUGGUUAACUGUUGCCGGAGCAGUGGCCGUUGCUUUUACCAUAUUUGUCAAUGAGGUUACUUGGGCUGAUAAUGUUGUCAGUGCAUCCACAUUGUGUACUCCUGCUGCUCCUCUCACUGUGGCUUGUCUAGUUGAUGGCCAUUGAUAGUUAUCCUUUCUAAAAUUUCAUAAGCCUCAUUAUAUGAGUUAGACAAUAAAGCCCCUAGUUAUUGAGUUCAACCCAUUGUAGAAAGUUUCCAAUUGUAUGCAAUAAGGAAUACCAUGAUGAGGGCAUCUCCUGAGUAACCCCUUGAAUCUUUCUCAUGCAUCAUACAAGCUUUCAUCUUCAAGUUGAUGGAAAGAUGUGAUCUCAUUCUUCAACUUUGCAUUCUUUGUUGGUGGGAAAUAUUUCAUCAAAAGUUUGUCAGCCAAAUAAUUCCAUGUGGUGAUGGAGUCUGGUUGCAAAGAACUCCACUGUACCAACUAAAAUUGAUUUCACAAAACACAAUAAGCACCAAUCCCCGGCAACGGCGCAAAAAACUUGUUGUCGAUUUUCUAAUGCUAUUAGUGUCAAUGUGAAAAUGUACACAACAAGUAAUAUAACGAUAAGUAUUCACUCCACAAGGAUUAUUAUUAUAGGAAUUGCUACAGUAAUUCUAUCAGUGCCAUUCUUAUUAUAAAUUAGAAUUUAAACAAAUUAUUCAACUAAUGAACUAAGGCAGAUCUUAUUGGGCUAGUCGGCAAUGUGUUGCUUUAGGUCGUGUGGAAUAGUUGCGGGAGUGAUCUUGCAUGAUGUGUGGAGCUAUAACAGUGCUGAGCAUGGGCCAAUCUAUGGGCUCAUGGAACUAGCGAACCUAAUCUAGAAUUUCGAGGAAGAGUACUCUGGUUAGUACUCUAAAUUACCUUAUUAUAUUUUGCACAAACAGAGGCAUGUUAGUGAAAUAAUAUCUAAGCAACCCAAGAGGGGGGUGAAUUGGGUUUCUAAAAAUUAUGCAAUUCUUAAACAAAACUUAAUGCAAAUCUUAAACGAAUUUAAAGCAAUAAUACAUAAAUCAACCAAGGUAUAAAAAGAUAAGGGAAGAGAGAUUAAAACACAGAGAGUUUUACGUGGUUCGGCCAACCUUGCCUACAUCCACACCCCCAAGCACACCGAGCUUGGGCAUUCCACUAGUCAAGCCUUCAAGGCUUCAAGAACACUUACAAUUGACUUCUUAGGUGUCAAUCAACCUUUACAUCUAGAGAUUAUCCCCAAUCUCUUAACCCAAGUGUAUCCCAAUAUUUACAAUCACUCAAAAUAAAGAUUACAAAUUUAUUUUUCUCUCACACAAUUUUUUAAGAUUACAAAUCAACGCUUAAUGUGUGAAUAAAUGAACAAGAAUGAAUUUGAAGCUCAAUGAAUGUUGUAUUCUCGAUUAUAAGCUCAAUGAUAACGUUGUGAUAAGCUCUUGUUUGAAUUUGAUUGAUCUUAUUUAUAGUUGGAGUUGAAAAAUAGCCAUUGUUGACUUUUUCCCGAAAUUGGAUCGCCGUUAACCGUUAUCGGUUAACCGUUUUGACUGGUCCAAGUGACCGUUGAGCUGAAUUUCAAAUAAACGGUUGAUCUUUUGACACUAUCGGUUUGCUGUUAAUUUCCAUAAACCUGUAAAACAAAUUUAUGCUAUUCGUUCUUGCUAAACGGUUGAAGGUCAGCAUGGAAUGACAUUCUAGAAAUUAUUGGUUGGCCGUUUGAAGUUCACGGUUCACCGUUUACUUCUAGAAUCACAGUUUUAACCAAAUUUCGCAGGGAAUGCUUUUUCGGUUAAAGUUAACGAUUAUCCAUAUUUCAUGAACACAUUUAGAAAAAUCAUACGACUUUUGAGAAAUUGUUUAGUAAUGAAAACUCUAACAUUUUAAUCAAAUACAUUUAAAGUUUGUUAUCAUCAAAAUCAAUAUAAUGAACAUCUACAUGUUAACAGUUAGGCCUUGAUUAUUUUUUAAAUCUUAUAAGAUAUAGAGUGAUAAUAGUAACUCAAUUUUCAUAAAACGUGGAAAGAUCAGUCGCCAAAUUUAUAGAUGCCAUAGAAAACCUAGAUUUUAGUAAGGAAUAUCAAGUUAUUUAUACAAUGAAAAUUGUUAAAACUCGAUUAAUUGCAAGGAAACACUUUUAGAGAGAUAUGGAGAGAAUAAACUUUGAAGAUAACAAUGAAAUACAUGACACAUUUAAGGAAGAAAAUAUAAUAGUAUUAAUAGAAUCUAUUUUAACCGGUCUUAAGAUAAUUCAAGAUUGAUGCAAAAUAAAUAACAGGACUCUAAACCGUCCAUAAUAAGUCUAUUGAUUAAUAAUAACAAUAAUAGUGAUGUGAAAUUUUUUAUUCAGAAUGCUCAAUUUAGAUUAUAAUAUCUAUGUGAAAGCAUUGAUGGCAUGUACCUUGGUUAGGAAAAUAGAUUGGACACAUGGAUAUAUAUGUUGGAAGAACAAAUCUAGUUUAUAUCUCAAGAGAGAUAAUAAAUUAUAAAUGACGGUGCUAUAGUAUAUUCAGAUUUUAUAAAUCUUUAUAAAUUUAAUAAUCAUUUAGAUCUUCAUAAUAUUAUAAUAAAACUUUAAAAAACUUUAAAAAUAUAUGUAGAAGAGAUGGAAGAAGAAAUCAUCCAAUUAUUCAAAAUCAAUUAAACAAAAAUAGAAGGUAAAAUCCUUGAAUUAUAUAAAUUAUACAAUUUCACAGAAAUUUUGCAUAUAUUGCGAAACGGUCCUUGUGGCACUAAUUAUGGGACUAGUGUAGCAUAAAUACUAAUAUUGCUUUUUAUUUUGUAAAUUAAUUGUUGCGUCAUAAUUUUUUUACAUACACAUUUUAUGUUUUAAAAUAUGAUUUUUUUUUUGUAUUUAGGGUUAAUUUUACAAUUUCAUACUUUGUUCAAUUAUAUGUACAGGUCCUUCACGUGUUGGUUGAUGUUGAAUAUUCAAAGAUCCACAAGCUAUCAACGACAACGAAUCAAAUUAAACUAAUUAGUUAAUACAUAAUGACUGGGUUGUUUCCUAUGUUGUUAAUGAUGUAGAACGUUAUUUUAGGAUUUUAGAAUUUUAAUUUUUAGGUCUUCUGAUAUUUUCUUUUUUAAUUAAAGUUAGUGUCUUAGUUUUUUAUUUAUUUAUGUUAUAAUUAUAAUUUACUUUCUCUUUUUAAGUUAACUUAGGAAAAUAUAUUUACUGUAUUAUAAAUAAAGAGAUCUUGUUAUUACUUUAUAACUUCAACUUCAGUUAUUCAAUUAAAAACCCCUCUUUUAUAAUUUCCUUUUGUAUUAUCUAUUAAAAACCCCUCUUUUAAAGUUGUUUGAUUAGAGCAUCAUCUAGCCUUGCUUAACGCAGUAUAAAAAAUCCCUUUGAGUUUAAUCACACGUCGAUUAGAGCGUAACUUAAUCGCAUUGACUUGGUCCAUGACUUGAACGAUAUCUAGUGUUUUGCUUCCGCUAUGCCCAAGGAGAAAAUUAAUUUCACCGUGAGAUAAGAGCAUUAAAAGGAAUUCAUAAGAAAUUUAAAUUAAAGCUAUAUAUGUUAAAUAUAUCGCUAGCUACUUGUUUUUGGAGGAAUUAAAACAAUUAAUAAGCUGCGAAGUGAAAAUGAAUAAAUAAAUGAAAUGAGGUUGAAAAUAAGUCUCGCCGCCUGGAUCCAAGGCCAAAACAUUCAUGAUAAGUUAGGUAAUUAAGUACAUGUUUUCAAGCUCUUCAUGAAGAAUAACGUUAUUGAAAUAAAUCACAAAGACUCCCUGCGCAAAUUAUUACAUUGAUUAAAAAAAAAAGCCAUAUCUUUAACAGGAUCGUGACUCUCGGACUGUUAAUUACUUUAUUCCCUGCUUGGCCAACAGCUGGCCACUAAACAAAAUCAUAAAAAUUUUAAAUUUAGUCAAAUUGGUCCCACUUGAUGACAUCCUUUUCAUACAUAAAAUUGUUAACGUCAAGGUUAAAUAUGAGAAGUUUGGUAGAGAAGGUAAAAAGGAAGUCUAUAUAAGGAGGGGAACGAGCUUUGUUUAUAGCACAAGUGAAACUCCACUUUAUUGAACGAUGGGGUCUCAAAUGGGCUGCCUCUUUGCCACUCUUUUGGUAGUAUCAGUCUCUCUUAGCUACUUGCCGUUAGAAGCCUCCGCAAACAAAUACUACUACACAUCUCCUCCCCCUCCCAAGUACAAGUCUCCACCACCACCCCCGCCACCGGUUCACAAUUCUCCACCACCACCCCCGGUUUACCUGCCCCCGCCACCUCCUCCACCAGUCUACGUGCCUGCUCCGGCACCAACUCCAAUUUUCCCUUCUCCGCCACCUCCUGUCCCCAAGUCCCCACCACCACCUCACCCUUACGUCUAUGCAUCUCCCCCUCCUCCUUACUACUACUAGAAAGCGGCCAUGAAUAGCUCAUGCUUUUAUGGUAAUCUCAUUUAUUUUUAAAACUGUACAUGUAAAGACUAGUAGUUCAGAAUUACAUUAAGCAUUUCAAUUUUAAGCACCGUGUUCUGUUUAAUUGCGUUCCUAUUGAUUAAGUGACAAAUAAAAGAGAUUGAUUAAUUUGUUCUUGUAGGAGAGGCGAAUGGUAUCCGAAUAAAGAAAGCAAGGGUUUGAUGGAAGGCUUACUUGGAGCAAGAUAGCGAUCAAUCGAGUUGCUGCGUUUUAUUCUCUUUUAUCUUUGUUUUUUAAGAAAAAUAAACUGCCACACGUAGAAACAGAAAAUUAAGUUCUUGUCAUUUUCAUGCAUAUGGAUUGUUGCUGUGUGUGUCAAUCAAAUCUCCGUUGUGUCAUUUGUAAUUUUCAACCUUUAUGCAUGCAAAUGCGAGACCUCUUACGUAUAAUAAAAUUAAUAUACUUCCCAAGAUGGUCUUAUCUUGCGUUGACUUUUUACGUUCCUUUGGUGAUGAUUUUGACGUUUGAAAUUGAUGACUAAUUGACUAUUGUUUUUGUAAACUCUGACAUGGAUUUUUCGUGCAACUACAGAGCGCAUUAACGAGAGACUUAUCCAUGAGGGUCCAUGCAGAUCAGUGUCUAAUUAACCAAUAAUUAAUAUAACUAAAAAAAUAUAGAGUUAACUAUUUUUAUGGGUCAGGCUCAAUUGCAGAUGUUCGUACAAAAUUUCUUGCUAAUGUAUACUUGAGUAUGAUAAUAAGUUUUUAAUCAUUAUUAAUAAUUCACUUGAUAAUAUUAAACAAAUUUUCAUAUCAAUUAAGUUACAAAAUUUCUGUGACAAAUUUCCGCGUACUGGAACCAUGCAAAAGGGCUUUAUUCAAACAAAACUGCAUAGCCGUUGGCAAUUAAAAUUAUUUAUCAAUUAAGUUAAGUAGUAAGAAUUGGAUUGUGGAUUCCAUUAAUUAUUUCAAGGAAAAUUUUAUAGAUAAUGCCGUAAUGAAAUUUACGGCAUCAAUACCAUGAUAAAUAUAAAUAUUGUAAAUUACAAAUAGAAUUAGUAAAUGUAAAGUAAAACCAGUAAAUUCAUAAAAGAUUAUUAAUUAUUUAAAAAAUUAACAUUGUUUCUACAUAAUUUUAGUGAAAAAUAUUUUAUUCAUUUACAAAAACAUUUCUUUAAUUAAACAAAAAAAUUCAUUAAUUAAGCAAAAAAAUUAUACUGAAAAAAAAGUGGAAUAAGUUUAAUUGAAUUGGUUAUCAUAAAUUCUAUAUUUAGUCUAGGACAUUUUUAUACAUUUUCUUCCCAUUUUCGAUAAUGAUAUCUAUUUGUUACACAUGUUAAUUAAGUGCAAUUAUUUAUCUUGAUGUGGAUCAAGUAAAAAAAUAUCAUAAAUAAGAUAUCAAUAAAAUUAGAUCUAAUUUUGAAUAUUAUGUAUACUUUAUGUAGUUUCAAACUUUUUACUUGUAUUUGGAGACCAUUUAAGGUUGUUGUUGAAGAAGUGUAGAAAGAUGUAAAAUAACUUCAUCUUACAACAACUAUGAAAGAUAUUAAAAUAAUAAUUUUUUCAAAAUCCGAUUUUGAGAAAAAAAUUCAUCCUUAAUUAAACAUCACAUGUAUUAUAGAAAUGCAAAACUACCAUUGUUAUAUUUAACUUAAAAAAUAAUAAAUAUAUAAGGUAAUAAACAUUAUAAAGAGUUUUUAUUUUAAAAUUGUAAACUUUUGUUUCUGACAAUAACUCUUAUAUUAAUUUAUUUAUUUUGCCUUUUAUUCAUAAGUUUUAUGCAUAAUUUACAAACUUUAAGUUUUAUUUUGCAUUUUAUGUUGAUUUGGUUUUUUUAUAUUAUACGUACAAGUUUUCUUUUUAUUUACCAGUAAUACAUCAAUUUAUCAGCUUGAUAGUAAUUUACUUAUUUUACCUUCCUUUUACAAUUCUUAUGUUUCAUUUCCAAAAUUUAUGUUUUAUUUUACAGUUGUUGAUGAUUUACUAGUUUUAUGUUAUGUUUGCAAGUUUUUGUUUUGUUUACUAGUAAUAGAUUAAUGGGUAAUUUUUAAUUGAGUCCUCAUUAGUUCUAGAAAAACAAUUCAGAGACCAGAAGUUUACUAAAUGAAUCAAUUAAAUUCUUUCAAGUACAAACUAAUGUCAUUCAAGUCCUUAACUUAAUUGGUCAGUUAAAAAUAUUAACAACGUUGAGGACAUUUUAGUAAAACAACAAUUGAGUCGUUUCUCAUUCUUUAUUUUUGACAGGUGGAAAUAGUUUAAAGUAAACUCACUUAACCUGAUUAAGUUAAGGAUCAGUUCUUUCAAAUGAAAAAAAAAAAAAAAAACCUACAGAAACUGCCAUAUUCUUCGUGUGGGAGGAGAGAUCGAGAGAACGUGGGAUGGUGCAAAAAAUGUUGUAUAAAUCUACUGUGAUUUUGACCAAAGCUUUGGUAGCAUUGAUUGAGUUCAAGUACUGGAGAGAACCUGAGUUUAAAGGUUAGUAACUCUAUUUUUUUAGUGAUUUUUGCAAGCAUUUUCUGAUAAAAAAUUUUCCGUAUUGAGUGAUCGUUGUGAAAAAUUAAGUUUUUCAAGUCUAUUUUACAAAAUGACAAACUAUGUUUAAUUAUUGGUGGAUUCUUUUUUUUGUUCAAUGUUGUAUUUUGUUAAUUUGUUGUUUUUAAUUUGCUCUUAAUGUAAUUGUUAGACCAAAUACACCAUUAUUAUACCUAUAUUCAUUUCAACAAUUUGGUAUCGUUAUAUUAAUAAGAUUGAAUUCAUUGUAUUUGCUUCUUUGUUCAUGUAAAAUUGAAUUCUAUGUAUUCUUAUGAGUGAUAAUUUUUCUAUCUAUUAGACUAAAUUCACUAUAUUCACUACUUUCUUUCUUUUUGCUGGGCUAUUUUUUCUUUUUAGUUUAUAUUUUUAUAUGUAUUAGAUUGAAUUUGCUUUUGUACGUUUUUUUAGCCGAAUUACAUGUAUAUUUCAUUUAGGUUGAGUUUUUUUUGUUGUUUGCUAAAUAAAAUUAUAUUGGUUUAUCCCCUUUUUAUGCAAUACUUUUUGUUUAAAAUUAAUACAGUUAGCCAUGUUACCUUUUUUUUCAGUUAAAAUUAAUGGGGUGAUGUAGGCGAUAGGAUAUAGGGAACCAGAGGAAUAUAAGAUUAUUAGGCUGUUUCUUGAAAUUCAAGAUGUCAUGGUUAAGCAUGGACACAGUGAAAUGGAUUUGAUUGAAAUUUUUGUUGUAUUGCCAUGGACUACAAGUGGCCAGAGGAAGCUAAUUUCAAACGAUAGUGAAUUGUAUUGGGUUUUCGAGGAGUUUUUUUUAAUCAAUAGUUGUCCUGUCAUUGAGUUUGAGGUGCACACUGGGUCAGGUGGUCAGUCAUUUCAUGAAAGUGUUGUAAUAGGACCUGAAAAUCCUGUCAAUAUUAAAAAUUAGUGUUGUAAUAGUGAUAAGUUUGAAAAUGUUGUGGCUAAAAAGGUCUGCCUAGAAUAAUUGGUACUUCUUUAUUUGCCUCAAAGUCCAACACUAUGAAAUCCACAAGGAAAAAGAAUUUAUCCACUUUAACCAGCACGUCUUCAAUCUUGCCUUCAGGAUAAGCAUGAGAUCUGGCAGCACAUUGCAAUGUCACUGUGGUUGGUUUGACUUCUCCAACUCCCAAUUGCUUGAAUUCUGAUAAUGUCAUAAGAUUGAUGCUUGCUCCCAAACCACAAAGUGUCUUGCCACUGUAUUUAGUCCCUAUGGAACAAUGAAUUGUGAAACUUCCUGGAUCCUUCAACUUCUGAGGCAUUUUACUCUGAAGCAUAUGGCUGCAUUCUUGUGUUAGACCAACUAUUUCAAAUUCUCCGAGCCUCAUUUUCCUUGCCAAUAUACAUUUCCAAAAACUUUACAUAAUUUGGCAUUUGUUCUAAUGCUUCCACAAAAGAAAUGUUGAUAUGCAGUUCUUUCCAUACUUCCAAGAAUUUACUGAACUGCAUGUCUUGCUUUCGCUUUUGAAAUCUUUGUGGGAAGGGUGGUGGAUGUGUAAAUUGUUGUACUGCAGCAGACUAUACAUAUUGCUUUUCUCUUGCUCUAUUAUGGUAUGUUAUUAUUGGUGUUGCAGCUUCUUCCUCAACAAGCAUUGAAUCAUGUUUUUUUGCAGUUGCUAUAACUUAGCAACUCUCACCAGUGUGCUGGAAAAUGGGUUGUUGUGUCUCUUCUUUAAUUUGAGUUUCCCCUUGGGUUGAAUUAGGUUCCACUCUUCUUUUUGGUACUUUAACAAGUAUAUGAACAUCCUUUCCAAACCUUAAGUUAAUCCCCUUACAAUGCUCUUUUCCUUCUCUCUUUCGAUCCUCUGUAUUGUUUAGUAAAUUGUCCUGAGGUAUGUUGCUCAAUUUUGUAGCAAGCUGUCCAAUCUUAUUCUCCAAGUUUCUUAAAAAUACAGCUUGGCUUUAGACCACUACUUCAAUCUUUACAAUAUACUCCUUAAUCAGAGUUUCAAUGGAACUAAAUUGAUCAUUACUGGUGUUUCUUUACCCUUCAAAUUUCUGGUGAAAAUCAGGUGGCUGAGCAAGUCUGUUCUGUCCACUGGAUGCUGCAGCAUGCUGAUUCUGAUUGCUCCUUUUAAAAUUUGGGUGAUGUCUCCAUCCUAGGUUAUAGGUGUUUGAAAAUGGAUUGCUUUGAUUUUGUUUAUUAAAAUUGCCCACAUAAUUGACGGAAGCUGAAUUCCUAGGACAAUUAUGAUAUAGAUGUCCCUCUCCAUAAUAAACACAAGAGACUUCAGCAAUUUGGUUAACUGUUGCCGGAGCAGUGGCCGUUGCUUUUACCAUAUUUGUCAAUGAGGUUACUUAGGCUGAUAAUGUUGUCAGUGCAUCCACAUUGUGUACUCCUGCUGCUCCUCUCACUGUGGCUUGUCUAGUUGAUGGCCAUUGAUAGUUAUCCUUUCUAAAAUUUCAUAAGCCUCAUUAUAUGAGUUAGACAAUAAAGCCCCUAGUUAUUGAGUUCAACCCAUUGUAGAAAGUUUCCAAUUGUAUGCAAUAAGGAAUACCAUGAUGAGGGCAUCUCCUGAGUAACCCCUUGAAUCUUUCUCAUGCAUCAUACAAGCUUUCAUCUUCAAGUUGAUGGAAAGAUGUGAUCUCAUUCUUCAACUUUGCAUUCUUUGUUGGUGGGAAAUAUUUCAUCAAAAGUUUGUCAGCCAAAUAAUUCCAUGUGGUGAUGGAGUCUGGUUGCAAAGAACUCCACUGUACCAACUAAAAUUGAUUUCACAAAACACAAUAAGCACCAAUCCCCGGCAACGGCGCAAAAAACUUGUUGUCGAUUUUCUAAUGCUAUUAGUGUCAAUGUGAAAAUGUACACAACAAGUAAUAUAACGAUAAGUAUUCACUCCACAAGGAUUAUUAUUAUAGGAAUUGCUACAGUAAUUCUAUCAGUGCCAUUCUUAUUAUAAAUUAGAAUUUAAACAAAUUAUUCAACUAAUGAACUAAGGCAGAUCUUAUUGGGCUAGUCGGCAAUGUGUUGCUUUAGGUCGUGUGGAAUAGUUGCGGGAGUGAUCUUGCAUGAUGUGUGGAGCUAUAACAGUGCUGAGCAUGGGCCAAUCUAUGGGCUCAUGGAACUAGCGAACCUAAUCUAGAAUUUCGAGGAAGAGUACUCUGGUUAGUACUCUAAAUUACCUUAUUAUAUUUUGCACAAACAGAGGCAUGUUAGUGAAAUAAUAUCUAAGCAACCCAAGAGGGGGGUGAAUUGGGUUUCUAAAAAUUAUGCAAUUCUUAAACAAAACUUAAUGCAAAUCUUAAACGAAUUUAAAGCAAUAAUACAUAAAUCAACCAAGGUAUAAAAAGAUAAGGGAAGAGAGAUUAAAACACAGAGAGUUUUACGUGGUUCGGCCAACCUUGCCUACAUCCACACCCCCAAGCACACCGAGCUUGGGCAUUCCACUAGUCAAGCCUUCAAGGCUUCAAGAACACUUACAAUUGACUUCUUAGGUGUCAAUCAACCUUUACAUCUAGAGAUUAUCCCCAAUCUCUUAACCCAAGUGUAUCCCAAUAUUUACAAUCACUCAAAAUAAAGAUUACAAAUUUAUUUUUCUCUCACACAAUUUUUUAAGAUUACAAAUCAACGCUUAAUGUGUGAAUAAAUGAACAAGAAUGAAUUUGAAGCUCAAUGAAUGUUGUAUUCUCGAUUAUAAGCUCAAUGAUAACGUUGUGAUAAGCUCUUGUUUGAAUUUGAUUGAUCUUAUUUAUAGUUGGAGUUGAAAAAUAGCCAUUGUUGACUUUUUCCCGAAAUUGGAUCGCCGUUAACCGUUAUCGGUUAACCGUUUUGACUGGUCCAAGUGACCGUUGAGCUGAAUUUCAAAUAAACGGUUGAUCUUUUGACACUAUCGGUUUGCUGUUAAUUUCCAUAAACCUGUAAAACAAAUUUAUGCUAUUCGUUCUUGCUAAACGGUUGAAGGUCAGCAUGGAAUGACAUUCUAGAAAUUAUUGGUUGGCCGUUUGAAGUUCACGGUUCACCGUUUACUUCUAGAAUCACAGUUUUAACCAAAUUUCGCAGGGAAUGCUUUUUCGGUUAAAGUUAACGAUUAUCCAUAUUUCAUGAACACAUUUAGAAAAAUCAUACGACUUUUGAGAAAUUGUUUAGUAAUGAAAACUCUAACAUUUUAAUCAAAUACAUUUAAAGUUUGUUAUCAUCAAAAUCAAUAUAAUGAACAUCUACAUGUUAACAGUUAGGCCUUGAUUAUUUUUUAAAUCUUAUAAGAUAUAGAGUGAUAAUAGUAACUCAAUUUUCAUAAAACGUGGAAAGAUCAGUCGCCAAAUUUAUAGAUGCCAUAGAAAAUCUAGAUUUUAGUAAGGAAUAUCAAGUUAUUUAUACAAUGAAAAUUGUUAAAACUCGAUUAAUUGCAAGGAAACACUUUUAGAGAGAUAUGGAGAGAAUAAACUUUGAAGAUAACAAUGAAAUACAUGACACAUUUAAGGAAGAAAAUAUAAUAGUAUUAAUAGAAUCUAUUUUAACCAGUCUUAAGAUAAUUCAAGAUUGAUGCAAAAUAAAUAACAGGACUCUAAACCGUCCAUAAUAAGUCUAUUGAUUAAUAAUAAUAAUAAUAGUGAUGUGAAAUUUUUUAUUCAGAAUGCUCAAUUUAGAUUAUAAUAUCUAUGUGAAAGCAUUGAUGGCAUGUACCUUGGUUAGGAAAAUAGAUUGGACACAUGGAUAUAUAUGUUGGAAGAACAAAUCUAGUUUAUAUCUCAAGAGAGAUAAUAAAUUAUAAAUGCCGGUGCUAUAGUAUAUUCAGAUUUUAUAAAUCUUUAUAAAUUUAAUAAUCAUUUAGAUCUUCAUAAAAUUAUAAUAAAACUUUAAAAAACUUUAAAAAUAUAUGUAGAAGAGAUGGAAGAAGAAAUCAUCCAGUUAUUCAAAAUCAAUUAAACAGAAAUAGAAGGUAAAAUCCUUGAAUUAUAUAAAUUAUACAAUUUCACAGAAAUUUUGCAUAUAUUGCAAAACGGUCCUUGUGGCACUAAUUAUGGGACUAGUGUAGCAUAAAUACUAAUAUUGCUUUUUAUUUUGUAAAUUAAUUGUUGCGUCAUAAUGUUUUUACAUACACAUUUUAUGUUUUAAAAUAUGAAUUUUUUUUUUUUGUAUUUAGGGAUAAUUUUACAAUUUCAUACUUUGUUCAAUUAUAUAUACAGGUCCUUAACGUGUUGGUUGAUGUUGAAUAUUCAAAGAUCCACAAGCUAUCAACGACAACGAAUCAAAUUAAACUAAUUAGUUAAUACAUAAUGACUGGGUUGUUUCCUAUGUUGUUAAUGAUGUAGGACGUUAUUUUAGGAUUUUAGAAUUGUAAUUUUUAGGUCUUCUGAUAUUUUCUUUUUUAAUUAAAGUUAGUGUCUUAGUUUUUUAUUUAUUUAUGUUAUAAUUAUAAUUUACUUUCUCUUUUUAAGUUAACUUAGGAAAAUAUAUUUACUGUAUUAUAAAUAAAGAGAUCUUGUUAUUACUUUAUAACUUCAACUUCAGUUAUUCAAUUAAAAACCCCUCUUUUAUAAUUUCAUUUUGUAUUAUUUAUUAAAAACCCCUCUUUUAAAGUUGUUUGAUUAGAGCAUCAUCCAGCCUUGCUUAACGCAGUAUUAAAAAUCCAUUUGAGUUUAAUCACACUUCGAUUAGAGCGUAACUUAAUUGCAUUGACUUGGUCCAGUACUUGAACGAUAUCUAGUGUUUUGCUUCCGCUAUGCCAAGGAGAAAAUUAAUUUCACCGUGAGAUAAGAGCAUUAAAAGGAAUUCAUAAGAAAUUUAAAUUAAAGCUAUAUAUGUUAAAUAUAUCGCUAGCUACUUGUUUUUGGAGGAAUUAAAACAAUUAAUAAGCUGCGAAGUGAAAAUGAAUAAAUAAAUGAAAUGAGGUUGAAAAUAAGUCUCGCCGCCUGGAUCCAAGGCCAAAACAUUCAUGAUAAGUUAGGUAAUUAAGUACAUGUUUUCAAGCUCUUCAUGAAGAAUAACGUUAUUGAAAUAAAUCACAAAGACUCCCUGCGCAAAUUAUUACAUUGAUUAAAAAAAAAAAGCCAUAUCUUUAACAGGAUCGUGACUCUCGGACUGUUAAUUACUUUAUUCCCUGCUUGGCCAACAGCUGGCCACUAAACAAAAUCAUAAAAAUUUUAAAUUUAGUCAAAUUGGUCCCACUUGAUGACAUCCUUUCCAUACAUAAAAUUGUUUAACGUCAAGGUUAAAUAUGAGAAGUUUGGUAGAGAAGGUAAAAAGGAAGUCUAUAUAAGGAGGGGAACGAGCUUUGUUUAUAGCACAAGUGAAACUCCACUUUAUUGAACGAUGGGGUCUCAAAUGGGCUGCCUCUUUGCCACUCUUUUGGUAGUAUCAGUCUCUCUUAGCUACUUGCCGUUAGAAGCCUCCGCAAACAAAUACUACUACACAUCUCCUCCCCCUCCCAAAUACAAGUCUCCACCACCACCCCCGCCACCGGUUCACAAUUCUCCACCACCACCCCCGGUUUACCUGCCCCCGCCACCUCCUCCACCAGUCUACGUGCCUGCUCCGGCACCAACUCCAAUUUUCCCUUCUCCGCCACCUCCUGUCCCCAAGUCCCCACCACCACCUCACCCUUACAUCUAUGCAUCUCCCCCUCCUCCUUACUACUACUAGAAAGUGGCCAUGAAUAGCUCAUGCUUUUAUGGUAAUCUCAUUUAUUUUUAAAACUGUACAUGUAAAGACUAGUAGUUCAGAAUUACAUUAAGCAUUUCAAUUUUAAGCACCGUGUUCUGUUUAAUUGCGUUCCUAUUGAUUAAGUGACAAAUAAAAGAGAUUGAUUAAUUUGUUCUUGUAGGAGAGGCGAAUGGUUUCCGAAUAAAGAAAGCAAGGGUUUGAUGGAAGGCUUACUUGGAGCAAGAGAGCGAUCAAUCGAGUUGCUGCGUUUUAUUCUCUUUUAUCUUUGUUUUUUAAGAAAAAUAAACUGCCACACGUAGAAACAGAAAAUUAAGUUCUUGUCAUUUUCAUGCAUAUGGAUUGUUGCUGUGUGUGUCAAUCAAAUCUCCGUUGUGUCAUUUGUAAUUUUCAACCUUUAUGCAUGCAAAUGCGAGACCUCUUACGUAUAAUAAAAUUAAUAUACUUCCAAAGAUGGUCUUAUCUUGCGUUGACUUUUUACGUUCCUUUGGUGAUGAUUUUGACGUUUGAAAUUG